RNAcentral lists this long non-coding RNA (2258 nucleotides) under Nicotiana benthamiana. RNAcentral describes it as "long non-coding RNA (NBEN_LNC011337)". The record is from RNAcentral. Lineage: Eukaryota; Viridiplantae; Streptophyta; Magnoliopsida; Solanales; Solanaceae.
CCCCCUCUAGCGUUAAGCGUAUAUUCUAACAGACCUUACUUGCCCAAAUAAGAAAAGAACCUCAAAUACACGGACACAAAAUCAGAUCUGGGAAAACUCACUCAUCAUAUUUCAAAGUUGAUUCAUUCCAAAUCGCACAAAAGCCAACAUGAACACAAUGUAGCUUAAUGAGUAUCUAGUUGCAAUCCACAGAAACAGAAACGUCAUCAGCCAAGUAAAGGGAGAAUAUGAAGAUGAGAGGAGUUCAGCAAUGCAAAAUCAGUAACACAGCUUCAUUUGAUACCCACAAUCAUAUCAAAUGAAAAUCCAGAAAUCAUGAAGUAGACGAACAUAUACUAAAAUCAAUUCGUUCUAAUCAUCCUUCAAAUUACUUCAAUAUCUUAAAACUAACAAGUUAUAACCACGAAUGAACUCACAGGAUCCUCUUAAGGUGAAACAAGACAAGAUGCUAUCUAAGAAGCAACCUAACAAAGAGAGUAGACGACCUUACCUCGAUAGUACCAUAAGAACCAAACACACAAACACUUUAAAUAUCAAACACACAUCGAACCACCUUUGAAUUUACAUGAACCAACUAAUCACUGAACAUAUCCUUAACAGGGAAUAAUCGAGCAUGGAGGGAGUACUAAUUGAAGUAAAAAUGGCCUAAGAAAAUCAGUGAUGGAAUUAAAAUGCCGGAAACAUGAGCAUUCACUUAAUCCCUCAAUUAUGGUGAAUUAUAAAGAACAAAUAUUAUCAAUAGGGAAUUUCAACAGAUUCAACCCAAAAAUACAUGUUUCUGUUUUCACUUCUUUUCUUUUUUUAAAAAAAAUAAAUGCAGACUAGAGAUGGCACACACACAUGAGUGAAGUUUCAGCAAAGGAAAUCAUGAGGCACUCCUUCAAAUCACGUUAUAAACUCAGGGCAGAACAUCACAAAUGCGACACAUAUGACUCAAAGGUUGCAACCGAAGAGGGUCCUGCAUUUGAAUAAACUUCGAGAAAAAUGUUAAAGCCUUAGACAGUUAACAAGAGAAUUGUUUGAAAACUUAGAUGGACAAGAUUUUGAUUCACCAAUCUGAACAUCAGAACCUCAAACACUAGAGCUUUAAUAAGUUUCUAACAGUAAAAUGAUUAAGGUAGCUUCAAACACAAGAUCGCUUUAAGAGCACAAGACGAACUCUAGCAUGCUCAAACUAAUCGGCUAAUGAAAAAAAAACUCCGACAUCCUUCUCAUGAGAGCUUAUUCAAACAGAAACCAACACUAUCGCGUUCAGAAUAAGAGCAAAACCAUGUCUCAAAUUCCCAGUUAGAGCAUGCUUAUGCUAACAGAAUUAAUAGACGUGGCAGGAUUGCUUUGGAAAUCAUUAAGCAGGUCAGUCGACUUAAAAUAACAGUGAUGGAAUUACCACACCAUUACUUAGAACAGACUCAGUCCACAAAAAAGUCGAUCAUAACACAAAAAAAUCACCCUGGACUUAAUCUCAAAAAAAGAAUACUGAAACAAAACAGAAUUGCAAGAACAAAAGAGAUGAAGAUUGAACCUGAAGCUGCAAAAUCCGUUUAUACAACAUGUAGACUCGACAACACACUUCUCGACUAAAAAUCCUAGCGAGGUUCAGCAACAAUUCAGCGAGACGACAGUAAAACCCAGCUUGAAGUUCAAUGUUAUCUUCUUAGAACUCAAAUAUGUAUUUUAGAAAAAUGAGAAGAAGAAAUUGUAUCUAUGCUUCUUUUAAACUACAAUGGCCUCGUCCAAGAAAAUCUACUCCGAAAAAACCAUUUGUUCAUAGAAAACGUUUCAAACCUUUUUUUCUUUUUUCUCCAUUUCUUCGCCUCCCUCACGUAAUUGGAUAAAAUCUAUUUUGAAGACCAAUCUUGAUGAAUAUGGGGAUCAGAUUGAGUGAAAUCAAUCCAACGUCUCACACUCAUCUAGUAUUUCGUCUUCCAGAACCUUCCAAUCGUGUGUUUUUUCUCAAAAUCGAGCGAGUGGGAGGAGGAGGAAUCUUGGCAUCAAAAGUCGUUAGCAACAACAAAAGGAGAGAUAGAAGGACGCGUGGGUUAGAUAUUGAUGCCACUUGCCAUAGAUUUUGGGCUGAAAUGGGACUUGGGUACGUGGGUUCUCCAAAGAAGAAGAAUACUGACGCGUUUGGGGCUUAUGGAUUUAGGACUCGAUUCGAUUUCUGUGUGUGUAAACGAUUAAGUGGGGAAAUGAGUCGGGUUGCGGGGAGUUGGGCUUGGGCGACGGGUGUGAUCCAGGUGUGUAUGCAUUUGGGCUAG